RNAcentral lists this ribosomal RNA (253 nucleotides) under uncultured bacterium. RNAcentral's name for it is "partial 16S ribosomal RNA". It matches the Rfam family "Bacterial small subunit ribosomal RNA", at positions 524 to 776 of the family's 1533-position model. The record is from RNAcentral.
GACGAACUGUCCAAACGUUGUUCGGAAUCACUGGGCUUAAAGGGCGCGUAGGCGGUCGAUCAAGUCAGGGGUGAAAUCCUGCAGCUUAACUGUAGAAGUGCCUUUGAUACUGGUCGUCUCGAGGGAGGUAGGGGUGUGUGGAACUUCCAGUGGAGCGGUGAAAUGCGUUGAUAUUGGAAGGAACGCCGGAGGCGAAAGCGACGCACUGGACCUCUUCUGAUGCUGAGGCGCGAAAGCUAGGGGAGCAAACGGG